This is a long non-coding RNA of Brassica napus (rape), 1058 nucleotides long. RefSeq lists it as uncharacterized. The transcript is spliced from 4 exons. NCBI's taxonomy places the organism in Eukaryota, Viridiplantae, Streptophyta, Magnoliopsida, Brassicales, Brassicaceae. The record is from RefSeq and is a predicted model, not a curated record.
UAAAAAAUAAAUCAAUUUGAAGAAAAAAAAAAUAAUCCACAGCUAAAUCUAUACUAUAUUAAAAAGAUUAUAUAAUCAACAGGGAGAGUGUCCACGUCGACAUAUAAAUUCAACCAAUGUGGUGUGUUUGUUUGUCCACCUCAGUUACGUUUUGGGCUUUUGAGUUCUGAGAUUAGCUGGGCCUUAAGCGUCGUUUUGAUACUAGGUUUGAACUUGCUUUCAUCUCCGACGGAACCUGAGUUCUGAGAACGUGUUUCAUCUUCUUCCUUAGAAUUCGAAAAGCUACCAGUAAGUCCUUAUUAAAUCCAUCACCGACGAUCUACGAUCUUCCCUCAUGCAAGGAGGUGGAACUGCGACUAUAAAAAUUGAUUGGAGAGCAGUUUCAUUUAACUUCGAUAUAUGACAGUGACAAUGAUUGCGGCUGUAUCAACAUCGAUGAAGGAGUUCCCGUGAUCGGAAUGGAGUACAAACUGUCUCAGGUGUUGCAGUUCUCUUGGUCAUCAUUGAAAAAGUCAAGUAUAAAUAAACAUUGAUAAAGAAAUAAGCUUUCCAUCGACUAUCAAAUUAUUUUUUUCAGGAAUACUUUACUGACCUGAAGGCGUUGAAGCCAAACUAUGGCAGGUACCAGAGACGCUUCCAGAAUAAGCACUCUCUAAGAUGAGCACACCACCAAAGAGUGAAUCACCAAUCAUCACACCUGACGAACUAACUGAAGCUGAUGGGUUCGUCUUUGGAUUCCCAACAAGGUACGGCAUGAUGGCUGCUCAGUUCAAAGUCUUCUUGGACACUACCGGUGGACUCCGGAGAACUCAGUCACUUGCUGGUAAACCAGCUGGAUCUUCUACAGCACUGGCUCUCAAGGUGGUAGCCAAGAAACCACUGCGUAAGUUCCCAUGAAACCAUGAGAGUCGUGAGCCGUAGUUUGUCAAUAAUAAAGUAGAUGUUUUUUUCUCAAGUCAUGUUCACGCAUACGUGAGGUCAGUAAGUACACAAAACUUUAGCUCAUUAUGUCUCCGUUUAAACUAUAGAUUAUGACAAUUUUUUGAGCUUCUGUGAAA